UGAGGAAUAUUGGGCAAUGCCCGCAAGGGUGACCCAGCAACGCCGCGUGGAGGAUGAAUGUCGUAAGAUUGUAAACUCCUGUUAGAGGGGAAGAAUAGUACCGGUUGGACCGGUAUAUGACUGUACCCUCAGAGAAAGCCCCGGCUAACUACGUGCCAGCAGCCGCGGUAAUACGUAGGGGGCAAGCGUUGUCCGGAUUUACUGGGUGUAAAGGGUGCGCAGGCGGAAGGGUAAGUCAGGGGUGAAAGUCUGCAGCUUAACUGUAGAAUUGCCUUUGAUACUGCUCAUCUUGAGUGUGGGGGAGGUUGAUGGAAUUCCAGGUGUAGCAGUGAAAUGCGUAGAUAUCUGGAAGAACACCAGUGGCGAAGGCGGUCAACUGGCCCAUAACUGACGCUCAUGCACGAAAGCGUGGGGAGCAAACA
RNAcentral lists this ribosomal RNA (422 nucleotides) under uncultured bacterium. RNAcentral's name for it is "bacterial SSU rRNA". It matches the Rfam family "Bacterial small subunit ribosomal RNA", at positions 355 to 774 of the family's 1533-position model. The record is from RNAcentral.